RNAcentral lists this long non-coding RNA (4117 nucleotides) under Papio anubis (olive baboon). Its description in RNAcentral is "lncRNA (ENSPANG00000041655.1)". Lineage: Eukaryota; Metazoa; Chordata; Mammalia; Primates; Cercopithecidae. The record is from RNAcentral.
AUGUUCUGCGGUGUCAGAGAUGAGAGAACCCGGGAGGGUAGAGGUCAUGGCCAUCUCAUCCUGUGCUCUCCACCAGCACCUGGCACACAGUCUGGCAUGGAGCAGACCACGCAGACCGUUGUGACCGGGGUUCCCAGGGAUGCCAGGGUGCCUUGUGAGUCUUGUGAGCUUAUGUUCCCUGCGCAGAUUCCAAUGGCAAGCAGAAACCACCAGAUCCUCAUGGUUCAGAUGACAGACUCUGAACUGAAAGAGGGAAACAGAAACCCAAAAGAAACCUUUGUUGCUGAGGCCCAGGACACAGCCUCUUCCAUGCCGUGCGAAAUAGGUGAGCUGUCCCCUGCCCCAGACCCACACCUGGACAGACUUGGACAGAAAGCUCAGGGCAGGGGAGCAAGCUGGUUGUAACCAGAAUGACAUUAUCCUUGGAAGGUAACACUAGUGACUGGAACCAGUCUUCAAGGUGAAUGGGCAAUAAAAAAAGCCAAGUUUAAGGUCAGGAUACUCUUCCAUUUAUCAUUUCACUUUGAAAAAAAUCACUUUUCUGAACCAGACACCAAUACUUACUUAUCUCACAGGACUGUUGUAAAGAUCAAAUUUUAUCACAAUCUGCAUAAAGGCACAUUAUAAAUAGUGAAGCAAACAUAGCAUUACCAUCUGAUCCAGCAAUUCCACUGCUGUGCAUCUACAAAAGUCAUUUAAAGCAAGGACUGGAACAGAUCUCCAUGUUCAUAGUCGCAUUAUUUUCCAUAGCAACUCAAGGGUCCAUCAGUGGAUAAACAGAUACAUGCAAUGUGGUAGGUCCACACAAUGGAAUAUUCUUCAGCCUUAGAAAGAAAAGAAAUUCUGACACGUGUUACAACAUAAAAGGACCUCGAGAACAUUAUGCUAAGUGAAACCAGCUAGUCACAGACAGACAGACCUGGAUAACUUCAGUUAUAAGAGAUUCCUAGAGCUGUCAAACUCAUAGAAAAAGUAGGAUGGUGGUUGCCAGGGGUGAAGAGAGAAGGAAGUGGGAGUUGUCUGAUGGGUACAGAGUUUCUGUUUGGGAACAUUUUAAGAGUUUCUGUUUGGGAAGAUUCUAAGAGUUUCUGUUUGGGAAGAUUUUAAGAGAGUUCUGGAGAUGGGUGGUGGUGAUGGUUGCACAACAAAGAGAAUGUACUUAAUGCCACUGAACUAUGUCCUUAAAAUGGUGAAGCUGGUAAGUUUUAUGUUAUAUAUUUUUUACCACAUUAAACACUUAAAUUAAAUUUUUUUAAAAAGUAAAGCAUUCCAAGCAGUCUUACUGAAAUGAGAGGUAUUCUUUCAGUCAUGGUCUUGUUUUUCUAGGAGGCCACUGUGAGGAAGGGCCACACACACACAGAAAACAUCACCUAGUUCGGGACAAGUGCGUUUUCAAGUCCUUUCCUCUGUAGACACUGCCCCCACCCCAGGUGAUCCAUGCAGUUUCCCCGCAGCAGGAGCUAAGACAACACUUGGGCAGUGCUCCAAACAGAGGGAGCAGCAAACGCAAGGCCUGGAAGGAAGAGGAAACGUGGAUGGCCGGGCCUCCUGACUCAGCAACGCUCCCACUCAGGGCUGCGGAGCAUCAUGUUACUCUCCCACAUGGCGCCCGUCAUGGCAGGGGCUUCACACUUGUUUAUGUAAUUGUAGGAUGAAGAACCUGACUCCCUGCCCGACUGUAUUUCCUCAUUAUUGUCUUCCUAGCACCCAAUAGCAAACUUGGAACAGCAGAUUGAACAAAUACUUGUUGAAUGAAAUUAAUUUAUCAUCAUGGGAGAUGUCUUAGGAUACAUAUAUAUAAUUUUUGGAGACAAGGUCUUGCUCCAUCACCAAGGCUGAAGUACAAUCAUGCAAUCACAGCUCACUGUAGUCUCGACCUCCCAGCUCAAGCGAUCCUCCUGCCUCAGCCUCCCAAGCAGCUGGGACUACAGGCAUGCACCACCACACCCGUCUAAUUUAUUUUAUUUUAUUUUUAUCUUAUUUUAUUUUAUUUUUGAGCGUAGUUUCGCUCUUGUGACCCAGGCUGGAGUGCAAUGGCUGAUCUCUGCUCACUGCAACCUCUGCCUCCCAGGUUCAAGCAAUUCAGCUUCUCGAGUUGCUGGGAUUACAGGCGCCAUCACCACGCCCGGCUAAUUUUUGUAUUUUUAGUAGAGACAGGUUUUCAUCAUGUUGCCCAGGCUGGUCUUAAACUCCUGACCUCAAGUGAUCUGCCUGUCUUGGCCUCCCAAAGUGCUGGGAUUACAGGCAUGAGCCACUGCCACCUGUCCUAAUUUCUCUUCUCUUCUUUUCUCCUUCCUUCCUUUCUCUCUCCUUUUUUUUUUUUUUUUUUUGAGACUGGGUCUCACUCUGUUGCCCAGGCUGGUCUUGAACUCCUGAGCUCCCCCCUCACUCUCCCAAAGUGCUAGUAUUACAGGCUAAAGCCCCUGCACCUGACUUUUAGGAUUUAAAAAACAAAACAAAAACGUGGGCCUAGUGCAACUGGUCAGAACCCAGAUCUUCUCACAGGCCUGAUAGCCGUGUAAAUCUGCACAUCUUUCUGGAAAAGUUAAAGAGCAAAAGACAUCUAUAUCUUUCACCCUGUAUUCCUAUCCCUAAAAUUCUUCCUAAUAUUCCAAAACUGCGUGCCAGUUGUGUGACAUUACCUGCCGCAUUAUCUAUAACAGGUGAAAAAGUGCAUGCUACAUAAUAUGUAACAAUAGGGGAAGGGUUUACUAUGUGUAAUAGUGUGUAACUGCUGCGAUAAUUAUGAAGGUCAUGUAGAAAUAUGUAAAUGAUAUACGUUGUGCUGAAUUUUAACAGUAGACUAAAAUGCCAUGUACAUUACAAAUGUACUUAUGACUGUAUGAAUAUUGACAAAACAUGAAGUGAAUAUAUGCAAAUAAAGAUGGUUGCUUUAGAAUGGGGGGCGGUUAUGGGAGCUUUUCAUUUAUAAAAAAUGCUUUUUUUUUGUGCCUACACAAAUAUUUCUAGAGAUUGUGAAAACCAGCCAGACUCUCUGCCAUGCGAAGUCUGUAUUGCCAUCUGGUGGAAAUGUCACAGGGUGCAGCCUAACGCAAAGGGAGGAUUUUUGGAAAAGGAAAUGCCGAUCUUUCUCUUUGAAGUCACAAAUCCGCUCCAUUCCAGGAAAUUGAGUUGAGUUUUCUUGGAGCCAAAUUCCAUGAAGAAUAUACUCGAGCCUCCUUUGUUAAACUCAGAAGGGGCUGGAAGCAGUCAAAUCUAAAUUCCAUCAACCAAACUUUGUCGAGGGUUCUACAAUUUUCAUUUUAACUUUUCAAAACGUGGAGCACAACUAUUCCAGGAAUAAAAUGAUCCGAAGAUCAUAAAGGUGUCAGGUUAAACUCCAAUUUGCUCUCCAGGGAAGAAGGAGCCAGCCUGAAAGCAAACAGUUACUCUUCUGUAAUUCUUUCACUAGUUUUGCAUACUUGAUGUAGGCAGAUUUUAUCUAGCUUGUUUAUACAGCAUGGAGACAAGCUUCAGCAAAUUAUUUUGAUUAACUAAUAUGUGUUCUCCCAAAUACACAGCAAAGUAAGUUGUGGCACUAUUUCUGUUUUAUUUAUUUGCUUGUUUGUCUGUUUAUAGAGAUACAGUCUCAUGAUGUUGCCCAGCUCAGUCUUGAACUCCUAGGCUUAAGUGGUUCUCCUGCCUCAGCCUCCCGAAUAGCUGGGAUUAGAGACAUGGCCAACACCCAGCUUGGCACUAUUUUUUAAUAAGAAAAUUUAGAAAGUUUAUACCUCCUAUUUAGCCUCAUCUUCAAUGUAGAACAUUGAGGAUUUGCACAAGGAAUAUAGAAGAAAUUACAUUAAUGUUAUUUUGAAAAAUAAUUACAUUUGUGCUUCUCACAAAGCUAUGGGUUGGACUCUCAGUUUCAUUAGUUCAACUACAGUUACACUCUCAACUUUGAAUUUCUGGGUCUGGUCUUUUUCCAGGAGUGCCUUCUGGAAAGAACUAGGAGCCUCUUCUGUCUCCCAUCUUUCCCUGCAAUCACCUCCUCUAUCUCUCUCUUCUCUUGCCUGAAUUACUGUCCUCCCCAGUCCCCACUUACUCUGUACACCACACCUAGACUAGUGAUCACUUAGGAGGCAGCAACCUGGGUCAGAGCUUUAUGAAGAUCGUGACU